This 486-nucleotide ribosomal RNA is filed under the name uncultured bacterium. Its description in RNAcentral is "partial 16S ribosomal RNA". It matches the Rfam family "Bacterial small subunit ribosomal RNA", at positions 39 to 507 of the family's 1533-position model. The record is from RNAcentral.
GCGGCGUGCCUAAUACAUGCAAGUCGAGCGAACAGACGAGGAGCUUGCUCCUCUGACGUUAGCGGCGGACGGGUGAGUAACACGUGGAUAACCUACCUAUAAGACUGGGAUAACUUCGGGAAACCGGAGCUAAUACCGGAUAAUAUAUUGAACCGCAUGGUUCAAUAGUGAAAGACGGUUUUGCUGUCACUUAUAGAUGGAUCCGCGCCGCAUUAGCUAGUUGGUAAGGUAACGGCUUACCAAGGCAACGAUGCGUAGCCGACCUGAGAGGGUGAUCGGCCACACUGGAACUGAGACACGGUCCAGACUCCUACGGGAGGCAGCAGUAGGGAAUCUUCCGCAAUGGGCGAAAGCUUGACGGAGCAACGCCGCGUGAGUGAUGAAGGUCUUCGGAUCGUAAAACUCUGUUAUUAGGGAAGAACAAAUGUGUAAGUAACUAUGCACGUCUUGACGGUACCUAAUCAGAAAGCCACGGCUAACUACGUG